Molecule: ribosomal RNA, 373 nt
Filed under: uncultured bacterium
Lineage: Bacteria
Description: bacterial SSU rRNA
Rfam family: Bacterial small subunit ribosomal RNA
Source: RNAcentral
UAAUACGGAGGGUGCAAGCGUUAUCCGGAUUCACUGGGUUUAAAGGGUGCGUAGGUGGGUCUGUAAGUCCGUGGUGAAAUCUCCGAGCUUAACUUGGAAACUGCCAUGGAUACUAUAGGUCUUGAAUAUUGUGGAGGUCAGCGGAAUAUGUCAUGUAGCGGUGAAAUGCUUAGAUAUGACAUAGAACACCAAUUGCGAAGGCAGCUGGCUACGCAUAUAUUGACACUGAGGCACGAAAGCGUGGGGAUCAAACAGGAUUAGAUACCCUGGUAGUCCACGCCCUAAACUAUGGAUACUCGACAUACGCGAUACACAGUGUGUGUCUGAGCGAAAGCAUUAAGUAUCCCACCUGGGAAGUACGAUCGCAAGAUUG